GACGAACGCUGGCGGCGUGCUUAACACAUGCAAGUCGAACGGAAAGGCCCUGCUGUUGUGGGGUGCUCGAGUGGCGAACGGGUGAGUAACACGUGAGUAACCUGCCCUUGACUUGGGGAUAACUUCAGGAAACUGGGGCUAAUACCGGAUAGGAGCGCCUGCAGCACGGUGGGGGGGGGAAAGUUGCGGCGGUCGGGGAUGGACUCGCGGCUUAUCAGCGUGUGGGGGGGGUAGUGGCUUACCAAGGCUUUGACGGGUCGCCGGCCUGAGAGGGUGACCGGCCACAUUGGGCCUACGAUAGGGACCAGACUCCUACGGGGGGCAGCAGUGGGGAAUCUUGCGCAAUGGUGGGACGCCUGAUGCAGCAACGCCGCGUGCGUGAUGACCGCCUUCGGGUUGUAAACCGCUUUCGCCUGUGACGAAGCGUGAGUGACGGUAAUGGGUAAAGAAGCACCGGCUAACUACGUG
RNAcentral lists this ribosomal RNA (468 nucleotides) under uncultured bacterium. RNAcentral's name for it is "partial 16S ribosomal RNA". It matches the Rfam family "Bacterial small subunit ribosomal RNA", at positions 28 to 507 of the family's 1533-position model. The record is from RNAcentral.